RNAcentral lists this long non-coding RNA (1415 nucleotides) under Cricetulus griseus (Chinese hamster). Its description in RNAcentral is "lncRNA (ENSCGRG00015036049.1)". Lineage: Eukaryota; Metazoa; Chordata; Mammalia; Rodentia; Cricetidae. The record is from RNAcentral.
CAUGGGGCUGUGUGCCUGUCAAGAAAACAACGAAUGUUGAUUAUUUGAAGCUCUGAAAGAGCACUGUUAAAACAACCAUGACUAGAGUUGGGAGUGUAAAACACGGCAGUGCCUGGGAAUCUGCUCUUCGGUGGUUACAGCAGAAUGUAACCCAGCUAGGUGCUCAAACAUUCCAGGCCUGGAAGAACUGACAAAAGGCUUUAGAGUCAUCACAACUGGCAAACUCAAAGCUCCACUGGCAGCUAGAGGGCUGUUGAAACAAGAUCUGCUGCAACACGUCCUCGAGAGAGAGCAAGCAAGCAAGCAUUUCAACAGCUUUAGGAAGCUUCUAGGCAGGGGUAGGGGAAGGCCUACCACAACACUAAAAGCUGUGCAAGAAAAUACAGAAGAGAAUGCAUCCUCUCAGGCAAAAAAGACCAUGGGGACCAGACACCAAUAAAAACAAAUGACCCAGGUGAUCCAACAUCUCAGAACACCUCUGUUGAAAUUUCCUUAGAGAUCUGCAUCUAGAACAACUUCAAGACUGAUAACUGCGAUGGUCCAGCCUUCCAGACUACUACAAACAGGACUUGGCCAUUAUCCUGAUGUAUUUCAGGUUCCCCCAAAAUGCCAGUGCCCCCAGACAAUAGGAAACAGCCUAGAAAAAAACAAUGCCCACAUUCCCAAGGGAUAGAUUAUGUAUGUUUGUCAUUAUUUAUGGAGGGUUGGUUACAAGUUGUUAUUGGUCAUGGUCAAGGAAAAAGCUAAACAAAGGAGCUUAGAUUAGGGAUCUCUUUUCUGAAAAGAAAAAAGGGGGGAUAUAGAAAUGACAGAAUAAAUGGGUAGAUUAUUGAAUCUAGUUUUAAACUAAUAAAAACAACUACUAGUCUUAAAUAUUUUAUAUUGAUAUGGAUUUUGGUUAAUUGAUAUAAUUUUAAAGUUAUUUUGUUAUACUGUGUAUGUUUCUACUCUUGUUUGGGAUAUUGUGCUUAUGCAGCUCAUUAAAAAUAUAUUAUAUAAUUAAGAAAUACAGCAUAGUAUUUAGUCAUCUAUAAUAAAGUUGUAGUCAUAUUAGGCAUGUUUUCAAGGUUAAACAGAUAUAUUUAGCUAGGUAGACAGUCUUCAAAAACUUCAAAGACCAAAACAGAACAUAGCAUUUAAGAUGUCUAAUAAACUGAGGCUUUUCAUGACAGUGAGAUACAUCUGCACUGGCUUGUGUGCGGUGGUCCAUGCUUUAAAUCCCAGUAUUCAAAGGCAGAGGUAGAGAGAUUUCCAUGAGUUUGGGGCCAGCCUGGUCUGCAUAGUGAGAUAUCAUAGUGCAUAUCUCAAAACCAAAACACAGAAUAAUAUACUCUAUAUUUUAAUGCAUAACUCAAAAGCAAUAACAAGUUAUAUGUUUUUGUUUACUUAUGCUGGAAGGUCUCACUGUGCUGCCU